This 4085-nucleotide long non-coding RNA is filed under the name Homo sapiens (human). RNAcentral's name for it is "HSALNT0169456". The record is from RNAcentral. Lineage: Eukaryota; Metazoa; Chordata; Mammalia; Primates; Hominidae.
GGGGGACAGAGCAAGACCCCACCUCUGAAAACAAACAAACAAACCCAACUAGUUUGAAAACUUGCUAGCUUAUAUGAUAUUUAAUUAACCUGUGCCUUCAUAAUAUCAAGAACAGCUGGCAUGAAAAAGGCUCGGGGGCAAACACAAUUGACUUGUGGUAAAUACAAGAUCAGCUGGAGGGUGUUUUGCCAAACGGCUGAAAGCCAGGAGAGCUGAGCACGCCCAGGAUGUCUAGGGGACAUGGACACACCUGUCACCUGCAAUGGCCAGAUGAGAGGCCAUCCAUGGUAAAGGGGAUGAAAACGGUCAUAACAGGGCCAGCUAUGAUUGAACACAGGGUGAGUGCCACGCCCUGUGCUGGGGCGUCUCCUCGUGUCUCAUUAGAUCCUCACUGCAACCCCAGGAGGAGGUUUUAUCUUUAUUCUGGUUCCGCCAUUAUAAAGGUGGGAGAAUUGGGGCUCAGUCCCCUCAGCUAGUAAGGAGAAGAGCUGGUCCUUGAUCUCAGGUCUGCUGGUCCCCAGAGCUCGAGUCCCAGCUUCAGCUUCUCAACUCUGAGUCUCUGAAAAGGGUUUCCAAGGAGGCGGUGGAACCGUGUGGACUCAAUGACUUCAGACAUGGUCUGGGGCUGGGAGGCCAGACCGAGCUGCUGCAGAUAUGCAGCAGUGGAGCGAUGUUCCUGAUGCGGAGGCAGUGGAUGUCUGGAGAGAGAACCGAACUGGGGGGCCAGAGAAAGAGCUGGACGAUCUUAAGCAAGCAAUUUAACCUCUCUGAGCCUCAGUUUCCCCAGCCUCUGAACGGGAAAUGAAACUAUCCUCAUUAAAGGCCUGAUGGCUCACACCAUCCAGGAGAUCUCCUCUGCUACCAACUCCCAGCAGCUGAUUCAGCGGUCCUUCAUGAACAAUAGGCAACUGAACAAGAAAAUGAGUUUAUAUUGUUCAAAAGAAAGAAGAAUGCCUCUUUUUUCCCUUGAACAAGGGAGGUGGAGACUAACAAAAGAUUCUUUGCUUGACCAAACUUUAGUCAGGCUUCUAAAUCUUCCCCUCGGCCCGUCUGUGCACUUCCUUGUGAAAUCCAGUUUUAGCAAAGAACAUUUGUAAGUCAGUUUAGCAAGAACCCACCUCCCCACCCCCAUCCUCAAUAUCUGAUCAGGUUGCUCAGUUGCCAUCAUCCCCCAGGUGAUGUCUGAUUACCCUAGCCUGUCUUCAGCAAGAAUUCUGUUAGGUCAGUUCAGCCAGAAUCUCCCUUAACUCUUAUGUUUCCUCUCAGUAAUUUUUUUAUUUUUAUUUUAUUAUUAUUUUUUUGAGACAGAGCCUCCCUCUGUCACCCAGGCUGGAGUGCAGUGGCACGAUCUUGGCUCACUGCAACUUCUGCCUCCUGAGUUCAAGUGAUUCUUGUGCCUCAGCCUCCUAAGUGGCUGGGACCAUAGGUGUGUGUUGCCAUACCCAGCUAAUUUUUUUUUUCCUCAAGACGGAGUCUUGCUCUGUCGCCAAGGCUGGAGUGCAAUGGCGCAAUCUCAGCUCACUGCAACUUCUGCCUCUUGGGUUCAAGCAAUUCUCCUGCCUCAGCCUGCCGAGUAGCUGGGAUUACAGGUGCUCGCCACCACGCCCAUCUAAUUUUUUGUAUUUUUAGUAGAGACUAAAAAUAGUCUCUAGACCAUGUUGGCCAGGCUGGUCUUGAACUCCUGACUUUGUGAUCUGCCCACCUCGGCCUCCCAAAGUGCUAGGAUUACAGGCAUGAGCCACUGUGCCCACCCGGUGCCCAGCUGAUUUUUUAUAUUUUUAGUAGAGACUGGGUUUUGCCAUGUUGCCCAGGCUGGUCUUGAACUCCUGAGCUCAGGGCAAUCUGCCUGCCUCGGCCUCUCAGAGUGCUAGGAUUACAGGUAUGAGCCACCGUGCCCGGCCUUCUUCUUAGUAAUUUUCUAUCCACUGACCCCCACACUCUUCAUGGCUAUAAAUUCCUAUAUAAUUGCAUAAAUUCUACGCAAUCUCUCUCCCCAACUCUGAGACCCCAUUGCAGUGGUACCCUAUAACUAUGUCAAUGGCCCUGAAUAAAGUCUUCCUUACCAUGCUUUAACAAGUAUUAUUGAACACAUUUUCUUUAACAACAGCAAGAAAAAAGCAAAGCAGGAAAGGGAUGUAAGAAAGAGUGAGAUGAAUAACACACUUCCAAGAGGGAGGGCUCAAAGAAGGAAAAGGAAAGAUCAAAUGAGUUCCUUAUAUCCCAAAAGAAACUGCAGACGCAACGGACCAACAAACUGAGCUCAACUGAACUCUGUAAGUUUCAAGCAGAGAUUCUGUGACAACAGAGAGAUGAAAGGCAAGUUGAGGAAACAAAUGGAAGAAAAAGAUAAAACAUUACAGUGACGGGAACCACGUUCAAAGCCACACAACCCUGAAAGCACAAGUUUGACAAAAUUGUGCAAAACAAACUGGCACAAAAAACAUGCAAGAUUGAUCGUAAAGAAGAUGUAAAUGGCAGGCAAAGGGCAACUGGUUUUUCCAAGAAGAGAACAGAAUGGAUGAAACUGAAAAGGCAUUCAAGGAACCAUGGGAAGCUGACUUUUCAGAAGGAGGACAUGGACUUCCAAUUCAACUGAGCACGUUGUAUCCCAGAAAGAGAAACAUAGACAGAGUGACCCAUGCUGAAGCAUAACUAUGGUUAGCUUCUGAACACAGUGACAAAGGCAGAAUCCUAUCAACCAAAAAGCCAAAGGAAACCAAAGCACAAAUUCCCCCACAGCAUUCAGCACCCGAGGAUGGUGGCCACAAUCUACAGUUUGGGGGAAAGGAAAUGUGGAUCAGCAGACCCUGGCACGUAUAAAGACCACACACAGAUGGCUUUACACGUGUGGGCACUCAGGGCGGACAGUUCCUAAAAGCCGUUUUUGACAGAACACUGAGGAAUCAAACUGUAGAUCUUAGGAACAAGGAACUGUGCUGAAAACGAAUGACAGUGAACACAGAAUCCAUUCUAUUUUGGAAUUAAGACCCCAGUAACUAGUGAAAUUGUGUUAUAAAACAGAGAGUAACUCUUAUAAACAUGGCCGGUGUAAAUCAUGAUGUCAUCACCAAAUCGGAAAAGGAGGUGAGGGAACGCUGGCACUUCCCUCAUCUUUCAGAGCAGGAAGUAAAACUUGAAACAUGCAGUCAUAUCAAAAUCCAAUAACCUUGAAUAAUCACUCUUUGUCUACCCUUUUCUCCCCUUGACUUUGAAGGGAUCAUUUGGUCCUUUUUAUAUUGCUUGAAUUUGUUUUUUUCAUUGAUGCAUAAUAUUCAUACAUAUUUGUGAGGUACAUAUAAUGAUAUGGUUUGGAUCUGUGUCCUCGCCCAAAUCUAUUGUAAUCCCCGGUGUUGGAGGUGGGUCUUGGUGGAAGUGAUUUGAUUAUUGGGGUGGAUUUCCCCCGUGUACUGCCCUCAUUAUAGUGAGUGAGUUCUCAUGAGAGCUGGUUGUUCAAAAGUAUGUGGCACUUCCCCCUUGCUCUUGGUCCUGCUCCUGUCACAUAAGACGCCGGCUCUCAUUCACCUUCUGCCAUGACUAGAAGCUCCCUGAGGCCUCCCCAGAAGCAGAUGCUGCCAUGCUUCCUGUACAGCCUGCAGAACUGUGAGCCAAUUAAAGCUCUUUUCCUUAAAAAUUACCCCAUCUCAGGUAUUUCCUUAUAGCAAUGUGAGAACGGCUUAAUACAUGUAAUAUUUUGUUAGGUGCAUGGAAUGUGGAGUGACCAAGUCAGGGUAUUUGGGGUAUCCAUCACCUCAAGUAUUUAUUUCUGUAUUCUGGGGAUAUUUCAAGACCUUUCUUGUAGCUAUUUUGAAAUACACCCUACAUUGUUGCUAACUAGUCACCCUCCUCUGCUAUUGAACCUUAUUCUUUCUGUCUUACUGUGUGUUUGUAUCCAUUAACCAACCUCUCUGUCCUUCUCCCCACUGACACACCCUUCCUAGUCUCUGGUAUUUAUCAUUGAAUUUGUUUCUAAUGAGCAUGAUUUUUUUUAAACAAUAACAAGAAAAGGUCAUUAUUCUUAAAACAUUUCUUUUUGAGUUUUCUCCUGUCUAUCUGGUUUGCUUCAUUAAAAAGAGAGAGAGAAGAAA